This 119-nucleotide ribosomal RNA is filed under the name Pteropus alecto (black flying fox). The record is from RNAcentral. Lineage: Eukaryota; Metazoa; Chordata; Mammalia; Chiroptera; Pteropodidae.
UGCUAUGGCCAUGCCACCCUGAACAAGCCCGAUCCCAUCUGAUCUCGGAAGCUAAGCAGAGUCGGGCCUGGUUAGUACUUGGACGGGAGACCACCUAGGAAGACCAGGUGCUGUAGAUG